CGACGCCGCGUGAAGGAAGAAGUCCUUCGGGAUGUAAACUUCUGAACUAAUCGGAUAAAAGGGUAGUGGACACACUACAGAAGAAGGUAGAUUAGGAAAAGUCCCGGCUAACUACGUGCCAGCAGCCGCGGUAAGACGUAGGGGGCGAGCGUUGCCCGGAAUCACUGGGUGUAAAGGGGACGUAGGCGGGUGAUCAAGUCAUCUGUGAAAAGAUUGCUCAACGAUUGGCUUGCGGAUGAAACUGAUCAUCUUGGGCGUAGCAGAGGUAGACGGAAUUACCUGAGUAGGGGUGAAAUCCGCAGAUACAGGUAAGAAGGCCGGUGAAGAAGUUGGUCUACUGGGCUACAGCUGACGCUGAGGUCCGAAAGCCAGGGGAGCGAACCGGAUUAGAUACCCGGGUAGUCCUGGCUGUAAACGAUGCUCACUAGGUGUAGGGAGCGAAAGACUCUCUGUGCUGAAGCGAACGCGAUAAGUGAGCCACCUGGGGAGUACGUCCGCAAGGAUGAAACUCAAAGGAAUGGACGGA
This 526-nucleotide ribosomal RNA is filed under the name uncultured Petrotoga sp. RNAcentral describes it as "bacterial SSU rRNA". It matches the Rfam family "Bacterial small subunit ribosomal RNA", at positions 392 to 917 of the family's 1533-position model. Lineage: Bacteria; Thermotogati; Thermotogota; Thermotogae; Petrotogales; Petrotogaceae. The record is from RNAcentral.